Molecule: long non-coding RNA, 398 nt
Organism: Dendronephthya gigantea
Lineage: Eukaryota; Metazoa; Cnidaria; Anthozoa; Malacalcyonacea; Nephtheidae
Exons: 4
Source: RefSeq, a predicted model, not a curated record
CAAGAUUGUUGUGCUUUCUGGUCAAAGUUAAGUAUUUUACUUUACUGUUUGUGUGCCUUCUGCUAAAACUAGAAAAUAAUUAAGGUAGUUAUAAAUCCAAUUUUAUAUUAAUAAUGUCUUAUUAUAUUAAAGAUUUUCCUUGGUCAACAUUGGAAGUGAACAAGAUUUCUGCACAGAGAUUUUUCUUGGUCAAGAGUGCAACAUUAACUGUGGAUAUAAACUUUACGUUCAAAUGAACAUUGGAAGUGAACAACAUUUCUGCACAGAGAUUUUUCUUGGUCAAGAGUGCAACAUUAACUGUGGAUAUAAACUUUACGUUCAAAUGAACAUUGGAAGUGAACAACAUUUCUGCACAGAGAAUUUCCUUGAUCAAGAGUGCAACCAGCCACAUUAGCUGC